UGUGAGCUCGAUGAGUAGGGCGGGACACGUGGUAUCCUGUCUGAAUAUGGGGGGACCAUCCUCCAAGGCUAAAUACUCCUGACUGACCGAUAGUGAACCAGUACCGUGAGGGAAAGGCGAAAAGAACCCCGGCGAGGGGAGUGAAAAAGAACCUGAAACCGUGUACGUACAAGCAGUGGGAGCACGCUUAGGCGUGUGACUGCGUACCUUUUGUAUAAUGGGUCAGCGACUUAUAUUCUGUAGCAAGGUUAACCGAAUAGGGGAGCCGAAGGGAAACCGAGUCUUAACUGGGCGUUAAGUUGCAGGGUAUAGACCCGAAACCCGGUGAUCUAGCCAUGGGCAGGUUGAAGGUUGGGUAACACUAACUGGAGGACCGAACCGACUAAUGUUGAAAAAUUAGCGGAUGACUUGUGGCUGGGGGUGAAAGGCCAAUCAAACCGGGAGAUAGCUGGUUCUCCCCGAAAGCUAUUUAGGUAGCGCCUCGUGAAUUCAUCUCCGGGGGUAGAGCACUGUUUCGGCAAGGGGGUCAUCCCGACUUACCAACCCGAUGCAAACUGCGAAUACCGGAGAAUGUUAUCACGGGAGACACACGGCGGGUGCUAACGUCCGUCGUGAAGAGGGAAACAACCCAGACCGCCAGCUAAGGUCCCAAAGUCAUGGUUAAGUGGGAAACGAUGUGGGAAGGCCCAGACAGCCAGGAUGUUGGCUUAGAAGCAGCCAUCAUUUAAAGAAAGCGUAAUAGCUCACUGGUCGAGUCGGCCUGCGCGGAAGAUGUAACGGGGCUAAACCAUGCACCGAAGCUGCGGCAGCGACGCUUAUGCGUUGUUGGGUAGGGGAGCGUUCUGUAAGCCUGUGAAGGUGGGCUGUGAGGCAUGCUGGAGGUAUCAGAAGUGCGAAUGCUGACAUAAGUAACGAUAAAGCGGGUGAAAAGCCCGCUCGCCGGAAGACCAAGGGUUCCUGUCCAACGUUAAUCGGGGCAGGGUGAGUCGACCCCUAAGGCGAGGCCGAAAGGCGUAGUCGAUGGGAAACAGGUUAAUAUUCCUGUACUUGGUGUUACUGCGAAGGGGGGACGGAGAAGGCUAUGUUGGCCGGGCGACGGUUGUCCCGGUUUAAGCGUGUAGGCUGGUUUUCCAGGCAAAUCCGGAAAAUCAAGGCUGAGGCGUGAUGACGAGGCACUACGGUGCUGAAGCAACAAAUGCCCUGCUUCCAGGAAAAGCCUCUAAGCAUCAGGUAACAUCAAAUCGUACCCCAAACCGACACAGGUGGUCAGGUAGAGAAUACCAAGGCGCUUGAGAGAACUCGGGUGAAGGAACUAGGCAAAAUGGUGCCGUAACUUCGGGAGAAGGCACGCUGAUAUGUAGGUGAAGUCCCUCGCGGAUGGAGCUGAAAUCAGUCGAAGAUACCAGCUGGCUGCAACUGUUUAUUAAAAACACAGCACUGUGCAAACACGAAAGUGGACGUAUACGGUGUGACGCCUGCCCGGUGCCGGAAGGUUAAUUGAUGGGGUCAGCGCAAGCGAAGCUCUUGAUCGAAGCCCCGGUAAACGGCGGCCGUAACUAUAACGGUCCUAAGGUAGCGAAAUUCCUUGUCGGGUAAGUUCCGACCUGCACGAAUGGCGUAAUGAUGGCCAGGCUGUCUCCACCCGAGACUCAGUGAAAUUGAACUCGCUGUGAAGAUGCAGUGUACCCGCGGCAAGACGGAAAGACCCCGUGAACCUUUACUAUAGCUUGACACUGAACAUUGAGCCUUGAUGUGUAGGAUAGGUGGGAGGCUUAGAAGUGUGGACGCCAGUCUGCAUGGAGCCGACCUUGAAAUACCACCCUUUAAUGUUUGAUGUUCUAACGUUGACCCGUAAUCCGGGUUGCGGACAGUGUCUGGUGGGUAGUUUGACUGGGGCGGUCUCCUCCUAAAGAGUAACGGAGGAGCACGAAGGUUGGCUAAUCCUGGUCGGACAUCAGGAGGUUAGUGCAAUGGCAUAAGCCAGCUUGACUGCGAGCGUGACGGCGCGAGCAGGUGCGAAAGCAGGUCAUAGUGAUCCGGUGGUUCUGAAUGGAAGGGCCAUCGCUCAACGGAUAAAAGGUACUCCGGGGAUAACAGGCUGAUACCGCCCAAGAGUUCAUAUCGACGGCGGUGUUUGGCACCUCGAUGUCGGCUCAUCACAUCCUGGGGCUGAAGUAGGUCCCAAGGGUAUGGCUGUUCGCCAUUUAAAGUGGUACGCGAGCUGGGUUUAGAACGUCGUGAGACAGUUCGGUCCCUAUCUGCCGUGGGCGCUGGAGAACUGAGGGGGGCUGCUCCUAGUACGAGAGGACCGGAGUGGACGCAUCACUGGUGUUCGGGUUGUCAUGCCAAUGGCACUGCCCGGUAGCUAAAUGCGGAAGAGAUAAGUGCUGAAAGCAUCUAAGCACGAAACUUGCCCCGAGAUGAGUUCUCCCUGACCCUUUAAGGGUCCUGAAGGAACGUUGAAGACGACGACGUUGAUAGGCCGGGUGUGUAAGCGCAGCGAUGCGUUGAGCUAACCGGUACUAAUGAACCGUGAGGCUUAACCUU
Molecule: ribosomal RNA, 2547 nt
Filed under: Escherichia coli HVH 150 (4-3258106)
Lineage: Bacteria; Pseudomonadati; Pseudomonadota; Gammaproteobacteria; Enterobacterales; Enterobacteriaceae
Description: bacterial LSU rRNA
Rfam family: Bacterial large subunit ribosomal RNA
Source: RNAcentral